UAUCGACCGGCCUAGCGGACCUUUGCCAAGACGAUAGAUAUAUUCUUUUAGGAGAAAAAAAUG
RNAcentral lists this non-coding RNA (63 nucleotides) under unclassified sequences. The record is from RNAcentral.